CACGUAGGGGGCGAGCGUUGUCCGGAUUUAUUGGGCGUAAAGAGCUCGUAGGCGGCUCAGUAAGUCAGGUGUGAAAACUCCAGGCUCAACCUGGAGACGCCACUUGAUACUGCUGUGGCUAGAGUCCGGUAGGGGAGCAUGGAAUUCCUGGUGUAGCGGUGAAAUGCGCAGAUAUCAGGAGGAACACCAGUGGCGAAGGCGGUGCUCUGGGCCGGAACUGACGCUGAGACGCGAAAGCGUGGGGAGCGAACCGG
RNAcentral lists this ribosomal RNA (254 nucleotides) under uncultured bacterium. RNAcentral describes it as "partial 16S ribosomal RNA". It matches the Rfam family "Bacterial small subunit ribosomal RNA", at positions 524 to 776 of the family's 1533-position model. The record is from RNAcentral.